GACGAACGCUGGCGGCGUGCUUAACACAUGCAAGUCGAACGGACAGGCCCUGCUUUUGUGGGUUGCUCGAUUGGCGAACGGGUGAGUAACACAUGAGUAACCUGCCCUUGACUUUGGGAUAACUUCUGGGAACUGCGGCUAAUACCGGGGAGAAGCUCCUGCUGCAUAUUGUUCUUUGGAGAGUUUCGGCGGUUCGGGAUGGACUCGCUGCUUAUCCGCUUGUUUGUCGGGUAGUGGCUUACCAAGCCUGUGACGGGUAGCCGGCCUGGGAGGGUGACCGGCAUCAUGGGGACUGAGAGACGGCCCAGACGCCUACGUGAGGCAGUAGUGGGGAAUAUUGCAGAAUGGGCGGAAGCCUGAUGCAGCAACGCCGCGUGCGGGAUGACGUCUUACGGGUGGUAAACCGCUUUGGCAGGUGACGAAGCGUGAGUGACGGUAAUGGGUAAAGAAGCAACGGCUAACUACGUG
RNAcentral lists this ribosomal RNA (468 nucleotides) under uncultured bacterium. RNAcentral's name for it is "partial 16S ribosomal RNA". It matches the Rfam family "Bacterial small subunit ribosomal RNA", at positions 28 to 507 of the family's 1533-position model. The record is from RNAcentral.